UUAAGCGACUAAGCGUACACGGUGGAUGCCCUGGCAGUCAGAGGCGAUGAAGGACGUGCUAAUCUGCGAUAAGCGUCGGUAAGGUGAUAUGAACCGUUAUAACCGGCGAUUUCCGAAUGGGGAAACCCAGUGUGUUUCGACACACUAUCAUUAACUGAAUCCAUAGGUUAAUGAGGCGAACCGGGGGAACUGAAACAUCUAAGUACCCCGAGGAAAAGAAAUCAACCGAGAUUCCCCCAGUAGCGGCGAGCGAACGGGGAGGAGCCCAGAGCCUGAAUCAGUGUGUGUGUUAGUGGAAGCGUCUGGAAAGGCGCGCGAUACAGGGUGACAGCCCCGUACACAAAAAUGCACAUACUGUGAGCUCGAUGAGUAGGGCGGGACACGUGGUAUCCUGUCUGAAUAUGGGGGGACCAUCCUCCAAGGCUAAAUACUCCUGACUGACCGAUAGUGAACCAGUACCGUGAGGGAAAGGCGAAAAGAACCCCGGCGAGGGGAGUGAAAAAGAACCUGAAACCGUGUACGUACAAGCAGUGGGAGCCUCUUUUAUGGGGUGACUGCGUACCUUUUGUAUAAUGGGUCAGCGACUUAUAUUCUGUAGCAAGGUUAACCGAAUAGGGGAGCCGAAGGGAAACCGAGUCUUAACUGGGCGUUAAGUUGCAGGGUAUAGACCCGAAACCCGGUGAUCUAGCCAUGGGCAGGUUGAAGGUUGGGUAACACUAACUGGAGGACCGAACCGACUAAUGUUGAAAAAUUAGCGGAUGACUUGUGGCUGGGGGUGAAAGGCCAAUCAAACCGGGAGAUAGCUGGUUCUCCCCGAAAGCUAUUUAGGUAGCGCCUCGUGAAUUCAUCUCCGGGGGUAGAGCACUGUUUCGGCAAGGGGGUCAUCCCGACUUACCAACCCGAUGCAAACUGCGAAUACCGGAGAAUGUUAUCACGGGAGACACACGGCGGGUGCUAACGUCCGUCGUGAAGAGGGAAACAACCCAGACCGCCAGCUAAGGUCCCAAAGUCAUGGUUAAGUGGGAAACGAUGUGGGAAGGCCCAGACAGCCAGGAUGUUGGCUUAGAAGCAGCCAUCAUUUAAAGAAAGCGUAAUAGCUCACUGGUCGAGUCGGCCUGCGCGGAAGAUGUAACGGGGCUAAACCAUGCACCGAAGCUGCGGCAGCGACACUAUGUGUUGUUGGGUAGGGGAGCGUUCUGUAAGCCUGCGAAGGUGUGCUGUGAGGCAUGCUGGAGGUAUCAGAAGUGCGAAUGCUGACAUAAGUAACGAUAAAGCGGGUGAAAAGCCCGCUCGCCGGAAGACCAAGGGUUCCUGUCCAACGUUAAUCGGGGCAGGGUGAGUCGACCCCUAAGGCGAGGCCGAAAGGCGUAGUCGAUGGGAAACAGGUUAAUAUUCCUGUACUUGGUGUUACUGCGAAGGGGGGACGGAGAAGGCUAUGUUGGCCGGGCGACGGUUGUCCCGGUUUAAGCGUGUAGGCUGGUUUUCCAGGCAAAUCCGGAAAACUAAGGCUGAGGCGUGAUGACGAGGCACUACGGUGCUGAAGCAACAAAUGCCCUGCUUCCAGGAAAAGCCUCUAAGCAUCAGGUAACAUCAAAUCGUACCCCAAACCGACACAGGUGGUCAGGUAGAGAAUACCAAGGCGCUUGAGAGAACUCGGGUGAAGGAACUAGGCAAAAUGGUGCCGUAACUUCGGGAGAAGGCACGCUGAUAUGUAGGUGAAGUCCCUCGCGGAUGGAGCUGAAAUCAGUCGAAGAUACCAGCUGGCUGCAACUGUUUAUUAAAAACACAGCACUGUGCAAACACGAAAGUGGACGUAUACGGUGUGACGCCUGCCCGGUGCCGGAAGGUUAAUUGAUGGGGUCAGCGCAAGCGAAGCUCUUGAUCGAAGCCCCGGUAAACGGCGGCCGUAACUAUAACGGUCCUAAGGUAGCGAAAUUCCUUGUCGGGUAAGUUCCGACCUGCACGAAUGGCGUAAUGAUGGCCAGGCUGUCUCCACCCGAGACUCAGUGAAAUUGAACUCGCUGUGAAGAUGCAGUGUACCCGCGGCAAGACGGAAAGACCCCGUGAACCUUUACUAUAGCUUGACACUGAACAUUGAGCCUUGAUGUGUAGGAUAGGUGGGAGGCUUUGAAGUGUGGACGCCAGUCUGCAUGGAGCCGACCUUGAAAUACCACCCUUUAAUGUUUGAUGUUCUAACGUUGACCCGUAAUCCGGGUUGCGGACAGUGUCUGGUGGGUAGUUUGACUGGGGCGGUCUCCUCCUAAAGAGUAACGGAGGAGCACGAAGGUUGGCUAAUCCUGGUCGGACAUCAGGAGGUUAGUGCAAUGGCAUAAGCCAGCUUGACUGCGAGCGUGACGGCGCGAGCAGGUGCGAAAGCAGGUCAUAGUGAUCCGGUGGUUCUGAAUGGAAGGGCCAUCGCUCAACGGAUAAAAGGUACUCCGGGGAUAACAGGCUGAUACCGCCCAAGAGUUCAUAUCGACGGCGGUGUUUGGCACCUCGAUGUCGGCUCAUCACAUCCUGGGGCUGAAGUAGGUCCCAAGGGUAUGGCUGUUCGCCAUUUAAAGUGGUACGCGAGCUGGGUUUAGAACGUCGUGAGACAGUUCGGUCCCUAUCUGCCGUGGGCGCUGGAGAACUGAGGGGGGCUGCUCCUAGUACGAGAGGACCGGAGUGGACGCAUCACUGGUGUUCGGGUUGUCAUGCCAAUGGCACUGCCCGGUAGCUAAAUGCGGAAGAGAUAAGUGCUGAAAGCAUCUAAGCACGAAACUUGCCCCGAGAUGAGUUCUCCCUGACCCUUUAAGGGUCCUGAAGGAACGUUGAAGACGACGACGUUGAUAGGCCGGGUGUGUAAGCGCAGCGAUGCGUUGAGCUAACCGGUACUAAUGAACCGUGAGGCUUAACCUU
RNAcentral lists this ribosomal RNA (2901 nucleotides) under Escherichia coli. Its description in RNAcentral is "bacterial LSU rRNA". It matches the Rfam family "Bacterial large subunit ribosomal RNA". The record is from RNAcentral. Lineage: Bacteria; Pseudomonadati; Pseudomonadota; Gammaproteobacteria; Enterobacterales; Enterobacteriaceae.